Molecule: long non-coding RNA, 1881 nt
Organism: Homo sapiens (human)
Lineage: Eukaryota; Metazoa; Chordata; Mammalia; Primates; Hominidae
Gene: PDE7B-AS1
Product: PDE7B antisense RNA 1
Source: Ensembl
UUAUUCAUUUAUUCCACAAACAUGUUUUUGUUUGCCUACUAUGUGCCAGGCUCUGUUCUAGAUUCUCGGAAUAUAGCAGUGAACAAAACAGAUAAAACGUGCCUGCCCCUGUGGGACUGAGAUUCUAGUGGGGAAGACAGACAAUAAACAAAGUCAAUAAGUAAAUUGCCCUCUAUAGGGAAAUAAUGUGAUAUUAAGAACUGAGGCCUUUUGGGAAGUGAUUAAGUCUUGAGGGCUCUGCCCUCCGUGAAUGGAACUAUAAAAAAGGUUGAAGGGAGCUGGCUUGCCCCUUGCACCACAAGAGGACACAUAGAAGGUGCUGUCUUAUGAGGCAGAGAGCAUGCCCUCCCCAGACAGAGAACCUGUUGGCACCUUGAUCUUGGACUUCCCAGCCUCUAGAACCACAGGUUGUUAAACUGAACCAUCUUGACUGGCCCCAGCCAAGUUUCUUACAGUGGAAAUGGCACAUUAACUAUGCAGCUGUCAUGAGAGAAGUCAGUACUCUUAGAUUCUAACCCAAAAGAAUUCAAAUAUAUUGGAUUUCCUCUCCUGUUCAAUUGGAAUUCAAGGACUUAAUCCACUUUUAAUUACACUGUUCCUGUUGUUGCAUCAAAAGAUAGUUACUUUAGAAGAACAUGCCUGUAAACCUAUAAUUUUCACUACUCAGUGGACAUCAUUCAUCUUGAUAUGGUAUCUGCAGCCAGAAGUUUGGAUCACUGAGGGUGGGGAAAGGGUGGGGUUGUUAUGUGAUCAAAGGAAUCAUGGAACAGAGAAGACCCAUCUAGGUAACUUGUGAGGAUUCUUACACAUGUUAAUAUCAGUAAUUAAUGGGUUGCAGACAGGACAUUUUAAGAUAGAUUUUCAAAAUAACCAAGUUCUUUUUCAGGCAUUGUGAAUCAACCCAAAAUAAUGAGAACUAACAAAGUCAAAACAGCUUGUUCCAAUGGACAAUGGACACCUACUUGUAUCAAAAAGACUUUGCUGUUCCUGGAAGUACUGUUACUUGUUGAGGGUGUGAUGGCUUCAUGGCUUCGAGGUUACUUUGAGGAGCUGGGGUGCCGGCUGUGCGGGCCCUGAGGGCCCAGGGUCCCUGAGGGGUGGUUGAAGUGCACUCCAAUGCAUCUGGAGGUGAUGUUCUUACUGACAAUGAGCAGGUGACUGGGUUGGAGAGGGAUAUCAUGAUGGCUGCACGGAAGGGACUGGACCCAUAUAAUAUACUACCCCCAAAGGCAGCUUCAGGUACCAAAGAGGACCUUAAUUUAGCCCCCCUCCUUCACCAGCAGUGGGCAGCAUCUGUGAAGAGAAUAGUGCCAUCAUCUGGUUUUGGCUGGACAAAGGUGAGCCCCGGUGAUGCCCUGACUGGAAACUAUUACAAGCUGCCCCACCAGUGGGCCCACUGAGCCCCUGCACUAAGUUACUCAAAAUGUGCUAAAAAGUUUCUUCUUUUUAAUAAAAACUAGCCAUUGCAUUGGCUCCUUCUUCCAAAAACUAAAAAUAAAAAGACUUUGCUUUGUGGUUGGAGCUAUAAAAGAAUUGAUAACCCCGAUACUAAAGUAUACAACCAAGAAAAGUGUCAAAUAUAUAGUUGAUUUAGAACCUGGAUUAUGUUGAAGAAUUUUUGGUGUUCUGAGGGCUAUGUAAAAAUCUUGUAGACUAUGGGUGCUCCAGUCACUAGGCAGAUAAGCAUUUAUUAUACAUGAUUUGUAAAAUAAGGCAUUUAUAAUGUUAAAUAUUUCUAACAAUUCUAGAGAAUGUACCUUUCAAAAAAAUGGAAACUUAGAAACAUAUAUCCCUUGUCAUUUUCUUUCACUUUGAAUCUAUUAAUAGAUUCUUACAAAACAAAAAGUUUAAUAAAAAUUUUCUCACUCAGAUAUUUUGGAA